This 135-nucleotide ribosomal RNA is filed under the name Mesocricetus auratus (golden hamster). The record is from RNAcentral. Lineage: Eukaryota; Metazoa; Chordata; Mammalia; Rodentia; Cricetidae.
UACAGCCAUACCACCCUGAACGUGUCUGAUCUCGUCUGAUCUCGGGAGCUAAGCAGAGUCGGGUCUGCUUAGUACUUGGAUGGGAGAAGUGUACAAAUAAAUAUAUCGUUCCCACAUUAGAAGGGAACAUUGAAC